GAUUGACUGAGAAGAUGCAGCAUGGCACCUAGAUUCGAUUUUUACUUACUCAUUUACCAAGUUAUUCUCUGGUGCCUUCUGUGGGCCAGGCAUGGUUAUCUGGGCAGGAACAAGGUCCCUAUGCUCCAGAGGAAGGGAGAGGAGGUGAACAACUGAGCAAGCAACAUGAGAUCUUUGCAGACAGCGCUUCCCGGGAUGAUCCCCCUCAUCUGCAUCCCCUGUCUCACCUGCUGGUAGGCCUCUCGCUGCGGAUCACGCUGGCAGGCGGGCCGUGUGAGCUGGGGGCCGACAUGGGUGGGACGGGACCCCUUCACCUCCACAUGCUCUACCUGCUGCUCUCCUGGGCUGCUCGAGGAUCUUUGAGAUGCUUAUCCUCUGAGAACCCAGGACACCCUCUCUCGGAGGGUGGCACCACAGCUUUCCAGGACCAAGAGGCUCUGACAUUGCACCGAGGGCUCCAGGGGCAGCUGGCCUCAACCUGAAGUGGCCACCCCAUUAUCCCACAUUCAGAGGCCACGUGGGGCGAGGAGGCAGGUGGCCAAGCCUGCUGACACCCUUUGGAGAGAGGCCUGAAGCCAUGGGACUCCAGGCUGAGCCCUAGAAGCCGGAGGGACCAACAGAAGAGCUGGAGAUCCUCUUCCCUGGUGAGAGCUACACCGAACACAAGAACCAGGAGCACCCCAGGAAGCUCCACUGAGGAAGCCUGGGCGGGAGUGGUUAGGAAGCUGUACUUACCCAGGCAUGGUGGGAUGUGGGUGGGGGCACCGGGGCCGUCAGCCUCCCAACAGUGCAUAUAAGUGUCAGUCCCGUGGCCUGUGAAAACUCUAUUCACAGACCGACCUCUGUGGGUACCCCCGCAGCAACUGGGGUCCCUCUGGCUCAGGUCCCACCCUCAUCUCUCCCUGGAUGUGUGAGGGCCCACCAGGGCCCAUAUGUGAAGGGGGACAAGAACUCCCGCCUUGCAGAGACCUUCUGAGAACCUGUGUGUGAGACAUUGGGCACAGGGCCAUGGCCCAAUCCUUCUGGGCUCCUGUUUUCUUCUCCUUCUUGGUCCCAGCCGCCAAACUCAGCACCAAGGCUGCUCCUAAAAGCAGACUCCUCUCCCUACGCCCAGGCCUGUGUAUUUGUUUUCUAUGCUACACAGCAAGUUACCACAAAAGGAAGUGACUUAAAGCCUUGCCCAUGCAGGCCGGGGUUCGGCACAGGUGUCUUCAGGCUGGAUCUCCAGGUCACUAGGGCAUGGAUCUCAGCUGAGGCUCCUGGGCCCUUCCGUGAGCUUGCUGGGUGUUGGCAGUACUCAGCUCCUUGCAGUGGUGGCGCUGACGUCCUGUCUUCCUGCUGGUGAGGGGAGCCACUCCCAACUCAUGGACAGUGCCCACCAGUCCUGGCACACGGCCCUCUAGUAAUGUGGCACUUGCCUAUCAGCAGCCAGCAGGAGCUCCUCUCCCUGGACUGCUGAGUCUAAUCUAAUACUGCCUGAUUCCGUUAGACUAUCCAUCACCUUGGCCACUGAAUGUGACCUCAUCAAGGGAGCAGCUGUCCCAUCCUAUUG
This is a long non-coding RNA of Macaca mulatta (Rhesus monkey), 1552 nucleotides long. The record is from Ensembl. NCBI's taxonomy places the organism in Eukaryota, Metazoa, Chordata, Mammalia, Primates, Cercopithecidae.